Molecule: non-coding RNA, 453 nt
Organism: Trematomus bernacchii (emerald rockcod)
Lineage: Eukaryota; Metazoa; Chordata; Actinopteri; Perciformes; Nototheniidae
Source: the annotation of a RefSeq genome assembly
AUGGCCAGUCCGCCCCUGGUCCAGGGUAGAUUCACUAUCUCCAGAGAUGACUCCAGCAGUAAAGUGUAUCUGCAGAUGAACAGUCUGAAGGCCGAGGACACAGCAGUGUAUUACUGUGCCAGAAGAGACACAGUGAGAGACAGUGUUGAUGGUCAGACUCUGACAGAAUCUGAACCAGUGACUAAAAGGCCUGGAGAAUCUCACAGAUUGACCUGUACUACUUCUGGAUUCUCAUUCGGCUACUACAUUGCCUGGAUCAGACAGGCUCCUGGAAAAGGACUGGAGUGGAUCGCUUCGAUCCACCCUACUAGCAGUGCCAACAUCUACUACUCUGAGUCAGUGAAAGGCCGGUUCACCGGCUCCAGCAACAGCAGACAGCAGGUGUAUCUGCAGAUGAACAGUCUGACGGCUGUAGACUCUGCUGUUUAUUACUGUGCUCGAGACGCACAGUGA